Molecule: ribosomal RNA, 500 nt
Filed under: uncultured bacterium
Lineage: Bacteria
Description: partial 16S ribosomal RNA
Rfam family: Bacterial small subunit ribosomal RNA
Source: RNAcentral
AUUGAACGCUGGCGGCAGGCUUAACACAUGCAAGUCGAGCGGGGGAAGGUAGCUUGCUACCGGACCUAGCGGCGGACGGGUGAGUAAUGCUUAGGAAUCUGCCUAUUAGUGGGGACAACAUCUCGAAAGGGAUGCUAAUACCGCAUACGUCCUACGGGAGAAAGCAGGGGAUCUUCGGACCUUGCGCUAAUAGAUGAGCCUAAGUCGGAUUAGCUAGUUGGUGGGGUAAAGGCCUACCGAGGCGACGAUCUGUAGCGGGUCUGAGAGGAGGAUCCGCCACGCUUGGACUGAGACACGGCCCAGACUCCUACGGGAGGCAGCAGUGGGGAAUAUUGGACAAUGGGGGGAACCCUGAUCCAGCCAUGCCGGGUGUGUGAAGAAGGCCUUAUGGUUGUAAAGCACUUUAAGCGAGGAGGAGGCUACUUUAGUUAAUACCUAGAGAUAGUGGACGUUACUCGCAGAAUAAGCACCGGCUAACUCUGUGCCAGCCGCCGCGGUAA